RNAcentral lists this ribosomal RNA (533 nucleotides) under uncultured bacterium. RNAcentral describes it as "bacterial SSU rRNA". It matches the Rfam family "Bacterial small subunit ribosomal RNA", at positions 777 to 1308 of the family's 1533-position model. The record is from RNAcentral.
AAUAGAUACCCGGGUAGUCCACGCUGUAAACGGUGGGUACUAGGUGUGGGGUCCAUUCCACGGGUUCCGCGCCGUAGCUAACGCUUUAAGUACCCCGCCUGGGGAGUACGGCCGCAAGGCUAAAACUCAAAGGAAUUGACGGGGCCCCGCACAAGCGGCGGAGCAUGCGGAUUAAUUCGAUGCAACGCGUAGAACCUUACCUGGGUUUGACAUGGAUCGGGAGUGCUCAGAGAUGGGUGUGCCUCUUUUGGGGUCGGUUCACAGGUGGUGCAUGGCUGUCGUCAGCUCGUGUCGUGAGAUGUUGGGUUAAGUCCCGCAACGAGCGCAACCCUUGUUCACUGUUGCCAGCACGUUAUGGUGGGGACUCAGUGGAGACCGCCGGGGUCAACUCGAAGGAAGUGGGAUGACGUCAAGUCAUCAUGCCCCUUAUGUCCAGGGCUUCACGCAUGCUACAAUGGCUGGUACAGAGAGUGGCGAGCCUGUGAGGGUGAGCGAAUCUCGGAAANCCGGUNUCAGUUCGGAUUGGGGUCUGC